GCAGUCGAACGAACUCUGGUAUUGAUUGGUGCUUGCAUCAUGAUUUACAUUUGAGUGAGUGGCGAACUGGUGAGUAACACGUGGGAAACCUGCCCAGAAGCGGGGGAUAACACCUGGAAACAGAUGCUAAUACCGCAUAACAACUUGGACCGCAUGGUCCGAGUUUGAAAGAUGGCUUCGGCUAUCACUUUUGGAUGGUCCCGCGGCGUAUUAGCUAGAUGGUGAGGUAACGGCUCACCAUGGCAAUGAUACGUAGCCGACCUGAGAGGGUAAUCGGCCACAUUGGGACUGAGACACGGCCCAAACUCCUACGGGAGGCAGCAGUAGGGAAUCUUCCACAAUGGACGAAAGUCUGAUGGAGCAACGCCGCGUGAGUGAAGAAGGGUUUCGGCUCGUAAAACUCUGUUGUUAAAGAAGAACAUAUCUGAGAGUAACUGUUCAGGUAUUGACGGUAUUUAACCAGAAAGCCACGGCUAACUACGUGCCAGCAGCCGCGGUAAUACGUAGGUGGCAAGCGUUGUCCGGAUUUAUUGGGCGUAAAGCGAGCGCAGGCGGUUUUUUAAGUCUGAUGUGAAAGCCUUCGGCUCAACCGAAGAAGUGCAUCGGAAACUGGGAAACUUGAGUGCAGAAGAGGACAGUGGAACUCCAUGUGUAGCGGUGAAAUGCGUAGAUAUAUGGAAGAACACCAGUGGCGAAGGCGGCUGUCUGGUCUGUAACUGACGCUGAGGCUCGAAAGUAUGGGUAGCAAACAGGAUUAGAUACCCUGGUAGUCCAUACCGUAAACGAUGAAUGCUAAGUGUUGGAGGGUUUCCGCCCUUCAGUGCUGCAGCUAACGCAUUAAGCAUUCCGCCUGGGGAGUACGGCCGCAAGGCUGAAACUCAAAGGAAUUGACGGGGGCCCGCACAAGCGGUGGAGCAUGUGGUUUAAUUCGAAGCUACGCGAAGAACCUUACCAGGUCUUGACAUACUAUGCAAAUCUAAGAGAUUAGACGUUCCCUUCGGGGACAUGGAUACAGGUGGUGCAUGGUUGUCGUCAGCUCGUGUCGUGAGAUGUUGGGUUAAGUCCCGCAACGAGCGCAACCCUUAUUAUCAGUUGCCAGCAUUAAGUUGGGCACUCUGGUGAGACUGCCGGUGACAAACCGGAGGAAGGUGGGGAUGACGUCAAAUCAUCAUGCCCCUUAUGACCUGGGCUACACACGUGCUACAAUGGAUGGUACAACGAGUUGCGAACUCGCGAGAGUAAGCUAAUCUCUUAAAGCCAUUCUCAGUUCGGAUUGUAGGCUGCAACUCGCCUACAUGAAGUCGGAAUCGCUAGUAAUCGCGGAUCAGCAUGCCGCGGUGAAUACGUUCCCGGGCCUUGUACACACCGCCCGUCACACCAUGAGAGUUUGUAACACCCAAAGUCGGUGGGGUA
This 1413-nucleotide ribosomal RNA is filed under the name Lactiplantibacillus plantarum. RNAcentral describes it as "bacterial SSU rRNA". It matches the Rfam family "Bacterial small subunit ribosomal RNA". Lineage: Bacteria; Bacillati; Bacillota; Bacilli; Lactobacillales; Lactobacillaceae. The record is from RNAcentral.